This 1282-nucleotide long non-coding RNA is filed under the name Chloebia gouldiae (Gouldian finch). Its description in RNAcentral is "Erythrura gouldiae (Gouldian finch) lncRNA (ENSEGOG00005010729.1)". The record is from RNAcentral. Lineage: Eukaryota; Metazoa; Chordata; Aves; Passeriformes; Passeridae.
CGGAGCUAAAUCGGGAUGGCGGGAGAGGAACAGCGGGAACAGCGGGAACAGCGGGAACAGCGGGAACAGCGGGAACAGCUGGAACAGUGGGGAAAGUGGGGAAAGUGAGGCUGGGAUAAAUCCCGGCUGCCUCCCUGGGACAGGGACAUUCCAUGGGGAUGGAUCCCGGCUGCUUCCCUAGAAUUGGGACAUUCCACAGGGAUGGAUCCCGACUGCUUCCCUGGGACAGGGACAUUCCACAGGGAUGGAUCCUGAGUGCCUCCCUGGAAUUGGGACAUUCCACUGGGAUGGGACAUUCCACAGGGAUGGGACAUUCCACUGGGAUGGAUCCCGGCUGCCUCCCUGGAAUUGGGACAUUCCACUGGGAUAAAUCCCAGCUUCCUCCCUGGGAUGGGGACAUAUCACAGGGAUGGAUCCCGGCUGUUUCCCUGGAAUUGGACAUUCCACUGGGAUGGGACAUUCCACUGGGAUGGAUCCUGAGUGCCUCCCUGGAACUGAGACAUUCAACUGGGAUGGGACAUUCCACUGGGAUGGAUCCCGGCUGCCUCCCUGGAAUUGGGACAUUCCACAGGGAUGGAUCCCAGAUGUUUCCCUGGAAUUGGGACAUUCCACAGGGAUGGAUCCCGGCUGCUUCCCUGGGAUUGGGACCUUCCACUGGGAUGGAUCCCGGCUGCCUCCCUGGGACCGGGACAUUCCAAUAUCCCACCGGGAUGAGCAGCAGGGAUUUGCAGGAUCAGUUUCCCAGCUGGAAUCUGGGGGCUGUUCCCUUUCCCACCCCAUUCCCGCUGCACCCAGAGAUCCCCGAAACCUGGGAAGUGACUCCACCAAAUAAAGACUUUGCCACAGCUGAGGAAAAUUCCCAAUUCCUGGAGCAGGUGCUGGUGGGAUGGAGGAAAAGCAAAUUCCUGGCUCAGGGAAUUCCCGACCUGCAGAGGGAUCCAACAUCCCAAGGGUGUGGAGCUGCUGGAGAGAGGCCGGAGGGGAGCACGGAGCUGCUCCGAGAGCUGGGAGAGCCGGGAAUGUUCCCCUGGAUCGGGGAAGGAUCCAGGGAAUCCUUGGAGCCGCUUCCCAAUCUCCAAGGGGCUCCAGGAGAGCUGAAAUUUGGGGAAGGGCUGGAGGGGCAGGAGGCAGGGAAUGGAAUUCCCAGUGGGAAAGGGGAGCUGGGGAUUUGGGGAUCUUGGGCAGGAAUUCCCGGCUGGGAGGAAGGGGAGAGGCUGGACUGGAAUUCCCAAGGAAGCUGUGGCUGCCCCUGGAUCCCUGGGAGUGUCCAAGGAAAGACUGG